Molecule: ribosomal RNA, 372 nt
Filed under: uncultured bacterium
Lineage: Bacteria
Description: bacterial SSU rRNA
Rfam family: Bacterial small subunit ribosomal RNA
Source: RNAcentral
AACGAACGCUGGCGGCAUGCCUAACACAUGCAAGUCGAACGGGAUCCGGACUUCGGUCCGGUGAGAGUGGCGGACGGGUGAGUAACACGUGGGAACCUGCCUUUUGGUUCGGGAUAACCGCGGGAAACUGCGGCUAAUACCGAAUAUUCCCUCAGGGGGAAAGAUUUAUCGCUCCAAGAUCGGCCCGCGUAAGAUUAGGUAGUUGGUGGGGUAAUGGCCUACCAAGCCUACGAUCUUUAGCUGGUCUGAGAGGACGACCAGCCACACUGGAACUGAAACACGGUCCAGACUCCUACGGGAGGCAGCAGUGGGGAAUAUUGGACAAUGGGCGAAAGCCUGAUCCAGCCAUGCCGCGUGAAUGAUGAAGGCCUU